UAGUGACCAAGUAAGAGCCUGACAAACAUAAAAUCUCAAAGCGGCCCUACACAUGCAGAACAAAACAAAAGUUUAGAUUUCAAUUUCAACUGAUGACAUACGCACAAAAGCUAGAAAAGAAACAUUGAAUAUUUGAAGGCAAACCAGCCUAAAAUCAGGGAGCUAAUAUCCAACAUCUCAAUAAAUAGAUCAGGAGGAUACUUUUAUUUUAAAAAAAAAAUAAAACAAUGAAAAAGAACCUUGCAUGACUUCUCUUUUAUUUAAACAGUAAAAUAACGCUUAUAAAAGUUUCUCACCUUUGGACUUCUCUUUUUUUUGGGGAAAAUGAAUCCAUUCAAAGCCUAAUCAGGCAACAAAGAUGAUACAAAUCAGACUUGGGUUAUGGGAUUGAAUAGAAAAUCCUGGAUAACCUAUGAGCACAUUCAUUGGUUGAUCUCCUAACAAAAGGAAAAAUACAGUUAUCAAACUCAGUUACAAUAGUUAAAACAUCUUGAAUCAUACCUUGAAUGUCUUUCAAUAAUGAUGUGGCGGAAUCCUUUACUUUAAGCUAGAAGAAUUGUUUCUUUACAAGCUAGACUUUCCAAAAUGACAGGAUUACAAAUGGCAGGGAUUCUUUUACACACCCAACCAGCAGGAAGGCCUCAAAAAUCCCGAGCAAUUACUGUUAUUGCACCAAUGUUACAUUGACUCCUUGUCACUGCAUCAAAAUUGAGUUUAAAACAUCUUGAUGGAGGGGUUGAUCAAGGCUGAGUUUGGAUGGUUGAUUGCUGAAACCGGUGCUGCACUUCUUAGGAUAGAUUGAAUUCCUCAAAAUUUUCCAAAGCUAAUGAGAUAACUUGCUGAGGAGGAUGUGAUUGAUUUUGUGAGGUUCCUGUUCUUCCAUAUUUGCCACAUAAGAAAGGCAAACUAAGAAAUUAAAUUCUCUUUUUGAUUAUUGUUAGAUAGAAAAUUUGAAACUUCUACCCAACAAUCCAUCAUUGAAUGACCUGCAGAAAGGAUGAUCUCAACCCAAAAAAGAGAUUGUACCCACAUUUCAACCAUUUUUGGACAGAGGAAGAAAAUGUGCUUUAGAGUUUCCCUUGCACCACCGGCCAAACAUUCCUCAGAAGCAUCAUGAAAUCUACUUUUGAUAAAACUAUUACCAGGAAGUCUUUCUUUUAGAGCUCUCCAUAAAAAAAAAAUGGAUAAUUUCGAAGGAAGAGAAAUUUUCCAUGCUCGCUUCCAAACUAGACUAUUAUUCCUUACUGAUGCUGGUCCUGGAUCCCCCUGUAAAGAACUACCCAAUUGUUUCAAAUGGAAGGCUAUAUGAUAGCCUGAUUUCACACUAUAGUCCCCAUUUCGAGUAUGAUGCCAAACCAGCUUGUAAUCUCUUGGAAUCAAACUAAUUGUGAAGGCUAGGAUAUUAGGAAUUUCCUUUUCAUUAAAGACUUCCUUAAAACCCGAAUGUUCCAAGUAUGGCUCUUCCUAUGAAUGAGUUGAAACACCCAAUGGAUAUUGUGAUUAGUGUUCAUUUUUACUAAAGGGAAUGAGCUUGGAAUCCACCUUUCUUCCUUACAUAAAAUAAAUGCCCCAUCUUGGACUUGUCAUCUCAAACCUUGAUUCAACACUUCCCUUCCCCACAAAAGACUUCUCCAACCCCAAAAAGAGUUUCCUCCCUCUGCUGCUUUGAGAAAUAAAGAAUAUGGGAAGUAUUUGCCUUUCAAGAAAUGAGCUAAAAGGGAGGAGGGAUCUGUUAUGAUUCUCCAUCCUUGCUUGGCUAGAAGGGCUUGGUUAAAAGAAGUCAAAUCUCCGAAACCCAACCCCCCUUUUUGUUUACCAGAACACAUACUACUCCAAGACACCCAAUGUUGCUUCUUUUCAUCAUCUUUUUUGGCCCCACUAGAAAUUAGCAAUCAUUCGAUUAAUGCCUUUGCAAAGCCCAUAAGGAAGUUUAAAACUCUCCAUAGCAUAUACAGGGAAUACACAUUACCACAGAUUUGAUUAAGGCUUUUUUUCCCAUAUAGGAUGACAAUUUCUCUUUCCAGCCAGCUAGCUUACGCCUAAUCUUGUCUAGAAUUAUCUUAAAGGUCUGUCUCUUAGAUUUAGCUACCACUGAUGGUAAACCUAAAAAUUUAUCUUGUCCUUCCAAAUUCUAAAUUUGCAAGGUAUGAACAACUGCCAUUCUCACAUCUACUGGGGUAUUUUUAUUGAAGAACAAGGAUGACUUGGUAUAAUUGACUAAUUGGCCACUAGCUUAAGCAUAUGUUGUGAGAAUACCUUUAAUGCGAGUUGCCUCCAUAAUAGAUGCUUUAGAAAAAAUCACGGAAUCAUCAACAAGAAGUAAAUGAGUAACCGCUGGAGCGUGCCAAGCAAUAGAGAUGCCUUGGAGAAUUGAGUGAGAUAGCAUGUGAGAGAGACCUUCAGCACAUAGUAGGAACAGGUAUAGAGAUAGUGGAUCCCCUUGCCUAAGCCCUUGGGAUGGAUGGAUACGACCAACUCUAUGCCCAUUAAUUUGUAGAGCAUAGGUAACUAAGGUAAUGCACUUCAUAAUCCAAGAAAUCCAUUGGUCAUGAAAACCAAGGCAGCCAUUCAUAUGUCUUAGGUAGGGCCACUUCACAUAAUUAUAAGCUUCACUGAUAUCCAAUUUAAGAGCCAUCCCAUAUCUCUUGCUCUUCUGUCUAGUUUUUAAGUGAUGUAUGAGUUCA
This 2684-nucleotide unclassified non-coding RNA is filed under the name Hevea brasiliensis (rubber tree). The record is from RNAcentral. Lineage: Eukaryota; Viridiplantae; Streptophyta; Magnoliopsida; Malpighiales; Euphorbiaceae.